This 467-nucleotide ribosomal RNA is filed under the name uncultured bacterium. Its description in RNAcentral is "partial 16S ribosomal RNA". It matches the Rfam family "Bacterial small subunit ribosomal RNA", at positions 29 to 507 of the family's 1533-position model. The record is from RNAcentral.
ACGCACGCUUGCGGCGUGCUUAACACAUGCAAGUCGCACGGAAAGGCCCUGCCUUUGUGGGGUGCUCGAGUGGCGAACGGGUGAGUAACACGUGAGUAACCUGCCCUUGACUUUGGGAUAACUUCAGGAAACUGGGGCUAAUACCGGAUAGGAGCUCCUGCUGCAUGGUGGGGGUUGGAAAGUUUCGGCGGUUGGGGAUGGACUCGCGGCUUAUCAGCUUGUUGGUGGGGUAGUGGCUUACCAAGGGUUUGACGGGUAGCCGGCCUGAGAGGGUGACCGGCGACAUUGGGACUGAGAUACGGCCCAGACUCCUACGGGAGGCAGCAGUGGGGAAUAUUGCACAAUGGGCGGAAGCCUGAUGCAGCAACGCCGCGUGCGGGAUGACGGCCUUCGGGUUGUAAACCGCUUUCGCCUGUGACGAAGCGUGAGUGACGGUAAUGGGUAAAGAAGCACCGGCUAACUACGUG